Hordeum vulgare subsp. vulgare (domesticated barley) is the source of this 966-nucleotide long non-coding RNA. RefSeq lists it as uncharacterized. The transcript has 2 exons. The record is from RefSeq and is a predicted model, not a curated record. Lineage: Eukaryota; Viridiplantae; Streptophyta; Magnoliopsida; Poales; Poaceae.
GUCCGGCAGCUGGUCCUCAUUUCCCACGCCGCAUCCCCACGACCCCACUUCCCGGCCUCGCGGGGGUGCCGUGAGGCCAUCUGUCGACGGCUGCGGGGAGCGUGUGCGCUUCGCGGAGGUUGGCGACGUCGCCUUCUUCCCCUCCUUCCUCGCCGAGCCCGUUCGCACCGCCGUGGAUGGGCUGCUCUGGGAGGACCCGGCAUCCGCCACAUCCGGUGGGUUGAGAACCUAUCCGCAUUCCUCGUGCAGGCGCCCGCAUUGCCCGCCUCCGAUACAGGUUGAUUGCAGACCAAAUGUUCCUCGGCUUACAGUCAUCUGUACGGUUGUACCUGCAGAUUGGUUUCAGGUGACAGAGAUGUUUUUGUGUGAAAUUUCAGAAAUUCACACUGCUAUUCUGAGCAACCAACAGCACACAUACAGCAGCAAUGAUUUCGCACUGCUAUUCAGCAGUUUCAGCCUUUUAGUUACCUUGCUGAGAAACAUCUACAGUAGAUGAUCGAUCAACACGAUGGGAAAAAUUUAGUGUCUGUUUUGCUUCUGUUUCCCAGCUUGUUGCUGCCCUUCCUUUGGUCAUUGUCCAUACCAUGGGCAAUAUUUUCGCAAACAUGAGCCUUGGAUAGGGAGCACAUCUACACAUACUAUCAAGGCCAUGGCCAUGGUACCUUUCCUUCUUCCUUGGCCAGGAAAACUAACUUGUGCAAGAUUCAGAACGACUGAUUAAAGAAGGAGAUUAUGUUGUAUUAUAUGAAGGAAGGGCGCAGGAAGUCGCAAUCCGCAGGCCAAUAGUGUAGUGAUGAAAUUGUAGAUGUAGACGGCUCCUGUAUUGAGAGGAUCAAGUGUCACAGGAUCGUCAAUAUUGUGCAUCGUAUUUCUUUUUAUCGAAAUAUAUAUGUACGUUUUGAAAGGAGGUAUCUGUACUUGUUUGGUUCAGAAAUAAAUAUGUGAUUGCUUCUCUGAUUCCUUUAA